GUGGGGAAUAUUGGACAAUGGGGGGAACCCUGAUCCAGCCAUGCCGCGUGUGUGAAGAAGGCCUUUUGGUUGUAAAGCACUUUAAGCGAGGAGGAGGCUACCGAGAUUAAUACUCUUGGAUAGUGGACGUUACUCGCAGAAUAAGCACCGGCUAACUCUGUGCCAGCAGCCGCGGUAAUACAGAGGGUGCAAGCGUUAAUCGGAUUUACUGGGCGUAAAGCGCGCGUAGGUGGCCAAUUAAGUCAAAUGUGAAAUCCCCGAGCUUAACUUGGGAAUUGCAUUCGAUACUGGUUGGCUAGAGUAUGGGAGAGGAUGGUAGAAUUCCAGGUGUAGCGGUGAAAUGCGUAGAGAUCUGGAGGAAUACCGAUGGCGAAGGCAGCCAUCUGGCCUAAUACUGACGCUGAGGUGCGAAAGCAUGGGGAGCAAACAGGAUUAGAUACCCGGGUAGUCC
RNAcentral lists this ribosomal RNA (451 nucleotides) under uncultured bacterium. RNAcentral describes it as "partial 16S ribosomal RNA". It matches the Rfam family "Bacterial small subunit ribosomal RNA", at positions 354 to 796 of the family's 1533-position model. The record is from RNAcentral.